RNAcentral lists this long non-coding RNA (289 nucleotides) under Ananas comosus (pineapple). RNAcentral's name for it is "long non-coding RNA (ACOM_LNC033204)". Lineage: Eukaryota; Viridiplantae; Streptophyta; Magnoliopsida; Poales; Bromeliaceae. The record is from RNAcentral.
UAUGCAUAUGCUUUGUUGUGGUCAAAGUUUCCAAGCUAGCCUGAUCACUAUCCAAUAUUUAGAGUUUUAUCCUCAAAUGAUAUCAUGGUUUGUUGUCUAUUAGUGAACUAAUGUUGUGUUGCAGUUCUGUUUAUAGUGCUUUCUGUAAGAUUCAGUUGGUAGAUGCUUAGCUGUACACCCUAAAGUCAAUUGAUUGAGUAAUAGAGUUGGUAUAAAUUUUGUGCUCUGUAAUAUCUAUGUUCAAGAUUACGUAUAAAUUUUUGGUAUAAAUUUUAUUUUAAUUCGAACG